This 401-nucleotide ribosomal RNA is filed under the name uncultured bacterium. Its description in RNAcentral is "bacterial SSU rRNA". It matches the Rfam family "Bacterial small subunit ribosomal RNA", at positions 32 to 439 of the family's 1533-position model. The record is from RNAcentral.
AAUCAACGCUGGCGGCGUGCCUAACACAUGCAAGUCGCACGAGAAAGUGGAGCAAUCCAUGAGUAAAGUGGCGCACGGGUGAGUAACACGUGAAUAAUCUACCUCCGAGUGGGGAAUAACUGAGAGAAAUCUUAGCUAAUACCGCAUAACACUUACGAGUCAAAGCAGCAAUGCGCUUGGAGAGGAGUUCGCGGCCGAUUAGUUAGUUGGCGGGGUAAUGGCCCACCAAGACGAUGAUCGGUAUCCGGCCUGAGAGGGCGCACGGACACACUGGAACUGAAACACGGUCCAGACUCCUACGGGAGGCAGCAGUGGGGAAGUUUUGUCGCAAGUGGGGGAAACCCGUGACGCAGCAACGCCGCGUGGAGGAUGAAGUAUCUUGGUACGUAAACUCCUUUCGA